RNAcentral lists this ribosomal RNA (567 nucleotides) under uncultured bacterium. Its description in RNAcentral is "bacterial SSU rRNA". It matches the Rfam family "Bacterial small subunit ribosomal RNA", at positions 119 to 674 of the family's 1533-position model. The record is from RNAcentral.
AAGGAACCUGCCUCAAGGAUUGGGAUAACUCCGAGAAAUCGGAGCUAAUACCGGAUAGUUCAUCGGACCGCAUGGUCCGCUGAUGAAAGGCGCUCCGGCGUCACCUUGAGAUGGCCUUGCGGUGCAUUAGCUAGUUGGUGGGGUAACGGCCCACCAAGGCGACGAUGCAUAGCCGACCUGAGAGGGUGAUCGGCCACACUGGGACUGAGACACGGCCCAGACUCCUACGGGAGGCAGCAGUAGGGAAUCUUCCACAAUGGACGAAAGUCUGAUGGAGCAACGCCGCGUGAGUGAUGAAGGUUUUCGGAUCGUAAAACUCUGUUGUAAGGGAAGAACACGUACGAGAGGAAAUGCUCGUACCUUGACGGUACCUUACGAGAAAGCCACGGCUAACUACGUGCCAGCAGCCGCGGUAAUACGUAGGUGGCAAGCGUUGUCCGGAAUUAUUGGGCGUAAAGCGCGCGCAGGCGGCCCUUUAAGUCUGAUGUGAAAGCCCCCGGCUCAACCGGGGAGGGCCAUUGGAAACUGGAAGGCUUGAGUACAGAAGAGAAGAGUGGAAUUCCACGU